AUUGCUUCUCGGCCUUUUGGCUAAGAUCAAAUGUAGUAUCUUCGAGAGAAAAAAAGUCACUGUUCAUUAUAAAAACUUUAAUGUAUACAGUAUAGUGAAGGUAAAGUAAUUUAAUUUUCUGUUGGUCACUACAU
Molecule: small nuclear RNA, 134 nt
Organism: Monodelphis domestica (gray short-tailed opossum)
Lineage: Eukaryota; Metazoa; Chordata; Mammalia; Didelphimorphia; Didelphidae
Gene: U2
Rfam family: U2 spliceosomal RNA
About the family: U2 is a small nuclear RNA (snRNA) component of the spliceosome (involved in pre-mRNA splicing). Complementary binding between U2 snRNA (in an area lying towards the 5' end but 3' to hairpin I) and the branchpoint sequence (BPS) of the intron results the bulging out of an unpaired adenosine, on the BPS, which initiates a nucleophilic attack at the intronic 5' splice site, thus starting the first of two transesterification reactions that mediate splicing.
Source: Ensembl